RNAcentral lists this long non-coding RNA (827 nucleotides) under Gossypium raimondii (Peruvian cotton). Its description in RNAcentral is "long non-coding RNA (GRAI_LNC008903)". Lineage: Eukaryota; Viridiplantae; Streptophyta; Magnoliopsida; Malvales; Malvaceae. The record is from RNAcentral.
UUCAAAUUCUCAUUUCUUAAAAAAAAAACCCUUCACCCCUUUUUCUCUCAAAACAUUUCCCCUCCUCCGGCGGAAACCCAGAAUCCGGCGAAGGAGACCACCGUGCCUCCGUCGCGCCGGCGUCACGUGCGGUGGCCGGAAAUUCAUAAGAGGUAUUUUUUUUUUGCGAAUAUCAACUAUUCUUUUUUAUUAGUAUAUGUAUAUUAUAUGUAUAAAAGUAAAAAAAACAGAUCUAAAGGGAAAGAUGCGAAAAGAAAAAAAAGGAUUCACCUUAAGAUCUUUGUUUAAUCCGUUUUUGUGUUACAUAAAUAGCUUCUUUUUUUUUUUUUUUUUAGAAAAAGUCCCUUUUCAUGUUACAAGUUCGGCUUUUAUAGCCUAUUUUUGUUACUGUUUUUGAUAUAUUUUCCUUGCUUCUUUCUCCUUUGCAGAUGCCAGUGGUGAUGGGAGCAGGUGGUGGUAGGUGCGGCGCGGAGGGGGCAGGUAAUGAUGUUGGUGGCUGCGGUACUAGGCUAGGGUUUCAGUUCUGAAACCCUAGUUUAACUAAUCCUCUUGGGUCAGAUUUGGGGUUUGGGCUGGAUAUUGGGCUUGGGGUAUUGGGUUAGGUUAGUUGGGUUUAAUUAUUUUUGUUUUGUUUGUUAGGCCCGGGAAAAUGGGCUUGUACAACAAUAAUACAUGGAAAAUCAAGCCAGUCUGCAUAGCUUGCAGCUGCACCAUGCCCAAUUAUUUAAUUACAAAACUUUUUUUUUAAUAAAAAACAAAUUCUUUUAUUACAAUUUAAUUUAACAUUAUAUUUUGAAAUCUACUGGUACGAGUUGAAUCUAAAUUAU